CGAGCGGACCGACGGGAGCUUGCUCCCUUAGGUCAGCGGCGGACGGGUGAGUAACACGUGGGUAACCUGCCUGUAAGACUGGGAUAACUCCGGGAAACCGGGGCUAAUACCGGAUGCUUGAUUGAACCGCAUGGUUCAAUCAUAAAAGGUGGCUUUUAGCUACCACUUGCAGAUGGACCCGCGGCGCAUUAGCUAGUUGGUGAGGUAACGGCUCACCAAGGCGACGAUGCGUAGCCGACCUGAGAGGGUGAUCGGCCACACUGGGACUGAGACACGGCCCAGACUCCUACGGGAGGCAGCAGUAGGGAAUCUUCCGCAAUGGACGAAAGUCUGACGGAGCAACGCCGCGUGAGUGAUGAAGGUUUUCGGAUCGUAAAACUCUGUUGUUAGGGAAGAACAAGUACCGUUCGAAUAGGGCGGUACCUUGACGGUACCUAACCAGAAAGCCACGGCUAACUACGUGCCAGCAGCCGCGGUAAUACGUAGGUGGCAAGCGUUGUCCGGAAUUAUUGGGCGUAAAGCGCGCGCAGGCGGUUUCUUAAGUCUGAUGUGAAAGCCCCCGGCUCAACCGGGGAGGGUCAUUGGAAACUGGGGAACUUGAGUGCAGAAGAAGAGAGU
This 618-nucleotide ribosomal RNA is filed under the name Bacillus licheniformis. RNAcentral describes it as "bacterial SSU rRNA". It matches the Rfam family "Bacterial small subunit ribosomal RNA", at positions 63 to 662 of the family's 1533-position model. The record is from RNAcentral. Lineage: Bacteria; Bacillati; Bacillota; Bacilli; Caryophanales; Bacillaceae.